AGAGUUUGAUCAUGGCUCAGGAUGAACGCUGGCGGUAUGCUUAACACAUGCAAGUCGAACGGAAUCUUCGGAUUUAGUGGCGGACGGGUGAGUAACGCGUGAGAAUCUGGCUUCAGGUUCGGGACAACCAUUGGAAACGGUGGCUAAUACCGAAUGUGCCGAGAGGUGAAAGAUUUAUUGCCUGAAGAUGAGCUCGCGUCUGAUUAGCUAGUAGGUGUGGUAAAGGCGCACCUAGGCGACGAUCAGUAGCUGGUCUGAGAGGAUGAUCAGCCACACUGGGACUGAGACACGGCCCAGACUCCUACGGGAGGCAGCAGUGGGGAAUUUUCCGCAAUGGGCGAAAGCCUGACGGAGCAAUACCGCGUGAGGGAGGAAGGCUCUUGGGUCGUAAACCUCUUUUCUCAGGGAAGAAAAAAAUGACGGUACCUGAGGAAUAAGCAUCGGCUAACUCCGUGCCAGCAGCCGCGGUAAUACGGAGGAUGCAAGCGUUAUCCGGAAUGAUUGGGCGUAAAGCGUCCGCAGGUGGCUGUGUAAGUCUGCUGUUAAAGAGUCAUGCUCAACAUGAUAAGAGCAGUGGAAACUACACGGCUAGAGUGCGUUCGGGGCAGAGGGAAUUCCUGGUGUAGCGGUGAAAUGCGUAGAGAUCAGGAAGAACACCGGUGGCGAAAGCGCUCUGCUA
RNAcentral lists this ribosomal RNA (679 nucleotides) under uncultured bacterium. RNAcentral's name for it is "bacterial SSU rRNA". It matches the Rfam family "Bacterial small subunit ribosomal RNA", at positions 8 to 731 of the family's 1533-position model. The record is from RNAcentral.